CGUGACUACUUUGAGUACUGGGGCCAGGGAGUCCUGGUCACCGUCUCCUCAGGGAGUGCAUCCGCCCCAACCCUUUUCCCCCUCGUCUCCUGUGAGAAUGCCCCGUUGGAUACGAACAAAGUGGCCGUUGGCUGCCUCGCACAGGACUUCCUUCCCGACUCCAUCACUUUCUCCUGGAAAUUCAAGAACAACUCUGACAUCAGCAAAGAUGUCUGGGGCUUCCCAUCAGUCCUGAGAGAGGGCAAGUACGCGGCCACCUCGCAGGUGCUGCUGGCUUCCAAGGACGUCAUGCAGGGCACAGACGAACACGUGGUAUGCAAAGUCCAGCACCCCAAUGGCAACAAAGAACAGAACGUGCCUCUUCCAGUGGUUGUCGAGCAGCCUCCCAACGUGAGUGUCUUCGUCCCACCCCGAGACGGCUUCGUCGGCAACCCCCGCGAGUCCAAGCUCAUCUGCCAGGCCACAGGUUUCAGCCCCCGGCAGAUUGAGGUGUCCUGGCUGCGCGAGGGGAAGCAGGUGGGGUCUGGCAUCACCACGGGCCAGGUGGAGGCUGAAGCCAAAGAGUCUGGGCCCACGACCUUCAAAGUGACCAGCACACUGACCAUCAGCGAGAGAGACUGGCUCAGCCAGAGCGUGUUCACCUGCCGCGUGGAUCACAGGGGCCUGACCUUCCAGAAGAACGUGUCCUCCGUGUGUGGCCCCAAUCCAGACAUAGCCAUCCGGGUCUUCGCCAUCCCCCCAUCCUUUGCCAGCAUCUUCCUCACCAAGUCCACCAAGUUGACAUGCCUGGUCACAGACCUGGCCACCUACGACAGUGUGACCAUCUCCUGGACCCGCCAGAAUGGCGAAACUCUGAAAACCCACACCAACAUCUCCGAGAGCCACCCCAAUGGCACCUUCAGCGCCGUGGGUGAGGCCAGCAUCUGUGAGGACGACUGGAACUCCGGGGAGAGGUUCAGGUGCACCGUGACCCACACGGACCUGCCCUCGCCGCUGAAGCAGACCAUCUACAGGCCCAAGGGGGUGCCCAUGCACAGGCCCGAUGUCUACUUGCUGCCACCAGCCCGGGAGCAGCUGAACCUGCGGGAGUCGGCCACCAUCACCUGCCUGGUGACGGGCUUCUCUCCCGCGGACAUCUUCGUGCAGUGGAUGCAGAGGGGGCAGCCUUUGUCCCCGGAGAAGUAUGUGACCAGUGCCCCAAUGCCUGAGCCCCAGGCCCCAGGCCGGUACUUCGCCCACAGCAUCCUGACCGUGUCUGAAGAGGACUGGAACACGGGGGAGACCUACACCUGCGUCGUGGCCCAUGAGGCCCUGCCCAACAGGGUCACCGAGAGGACCGUGGACAAGUCCACCGAGGGGGAGGUGAGUGCUGACGAGGAGGGCUUUGAGAACCUGUGGGCCACUGCCUCCACCUUCAUCGUCCUCUUCCUCUUGAGCCUCUUCUACAGUACCACUGUCACCUUGUUCAAGGUGAAAUGAUCCCAACAGAAGAACAUCGGAGACCAGAGACAGGAACUCAAAGGGGCGCUGCCUCCGGGUCUGGGGUCCCGGCCUGCGUGGCCUGUUGGCGCGUGUUUCUCUUCCCUGCCCGGCCUCCAGCUAUGUGCUCUAACACAGGCUUCCUUCUAGAGAGGCAGGGGCGGGCUGGCGUGCGGACCACGACGGGGGCUCCACCCCACACCGCUUUGCUGUGUAUACGCUUGUUGCCCUGAAAUAAAUAUGCACAUUUUAUCCAUGAAA
Mandrillus leucophaeus (drill) is the source of this 1740-nucleotide non-coding RNA. Lineage: Eukaryota; Metazoa; Chordata; Mammalia; Primates; Cercopithecidae. The record is from the annotation of a RefSeq genome assembly.